CUUGCCUCUUGGACUGGGACAACUGUUGGAAACGACAGCUAAUACCGGAUAUUAUGAGAUUCUCGCAUGAGAAACUUAUGAAAGCUAUAUGCGCCAAGAGAGAGCCUUGCGUUCCAUUAGCUAGUUGGUGGGGUAACGGCCCACCAAGGCGACGAUGGAUAGCCGGCCUGAGAGGGUGAACGGCCACAAGGGGACUGAGACACGGCCCUUACUCCUACGGGAGGCAGCAGUGGGGAAUAUUGGACAAUGGACCAAAAGUCUGAUCCAGCAAUUCUGUGUGCACGAUGAAGGUCUUCGGAUUGUAAAGUGCUUUCAGUUGGGAAGAAGCAAGUGACGGUACCAACAGAAGAAGCGACGGCUAAAUACGUGCCAGCAGCCGCGGUAAUACGUAUGUCGCAAGCGUUAUCCGGAUUUAUUGGGCGUAAAGCGCGUCUAGGCGGAAAAAUAAGUCUGAUGUUAAAAUGCGGGGCUCAACUCCGUAUUGCGUUGGAAACUGUUUUUCUAGAGUACUGGAGAGGUGGGCGGAACUACAAGUGUAGAGGUGAAAUUCGUAGAUAUUUGUAGG
RNAcentral lists this ribosomal RNA (565 nucleotides) under uncultured bacterium. Its description in RNAcentral is "bacterial SSU rRNA". It matches the Rfam family "Bacterial small subunit ribosomal RNA", at positions 125 to 704 of the family's 1533-position model. The record is from RNAcentral.